GAUUCUCACUUCUCAGCUUCAUUUAGUGUUUGAUAGCGUGCAAGUGAUCACCGGCGACACUGACAGGGGAAGAGAAGAGAAAGCUCAAGUCUUGAAGGAGGGUUUUCAUCUUCAGCACUGCACCAUACACAAGCAUGAGUGGAACUCCGAGGCCCGAGUUCUUCAAGGUUUUUCUUUAUGAUUCUAGACUUCACAUUCCACCACAUUUGUUGGGCAUGUUAUCGAUGACAACCAUGGAAAAGCCAUGAUAUUCUCGGCUGGUGAAUUUUGGCACGUAAAAGUUCAAAAAACCGAAUAAGGCUUAUUCUUCACAGAUGGUUGGGAAGAAAUUAUCAAAGCCCAUGGUCUCAGUGAAGGAUGCAUUCUUUUCUUCUGUUAUGAGGGUAACAUGGUUUUUACUCUAAAGAUCUUUGGUCAC
Long non-coding RNA from Dioscorea cayenensis subsp. rotundata (Guinea yam), 418 nucleotides. RefSeq lists it as uncharacterized. The record is from RefSeq and is a predicted model, not a curated record. NCBI's taxonomy places the organism in Eukaryota, Viridiplantae, Streptophyta, Magnoliopsida, Dioscoreales, Dioscoreaceae. The transcript is spliced from 3 exons.